RNAcentral lists this long non-coding RNA (719 nucleotides) under Ananas comosus (pineapple). Its description in RNAcentral is "long non-coding RNA (ACOM_LNC023591)". Lineage: Eukaryota; Viridiplantae; Streptophyta; Magnoliopsida; Poales; Bromeliaceae. The record is from RNAcentral.
ACAAAUUUUAGAAUACAACGGGUAUGUUGAUGAUGUGAUGUAAUAAACUAAUCAAAUAUCUCUUUUUAAAAAUAUAUAUAUAUGUCCAUCAUGAUUAUAAAAAAAUAUUUUGGGAAAACUUCAAAAACCUCCCAUGUGGUUUCGUGCAUUCUCACUUUGCUACCAUGUGGUUUAAAACGUAUCAAUUUGCCCCCCUGUGGUUUCGUUUUUAUCUUUUUGUUAUCAAUUUUAUUAUUAUUUUUUUUUUAAAUCAGUGACAAAAUUAAAAUUAAAGGAUACUAAAGUGACUAUUCGAUAAAUAUAGAUGGUUAUCUGAAGUUUUUUGUAUAUAAUUUAACGAAAUAUUAACGAAAAAGCUUCCGAAAAGAUAAAAAUGAAACCACAGGGGGGUAAAUUGAUACGUUUUAAACCACAGGGUAGCAAAGUGAGAAUGCACGAAACCACAGGGGGGGUUUUUGAAGUUUUCCCAAAUAUUUUUAUUGUACUUUUAUUUGAAAAGAAAAAAUACGAUUGACUUAUUAUUGAUGACGUGGUAUAAGUGUGACAAUGUAGAAUUCCUUCGGCCAGCCGCCAUGGUGUCAACUUGUCAUCUCCAAGUGAGAUAUGAUUUGUUACUGAUCUAUCCUAACACUAGUAGUAAAAAAUUUAAUAAUUAAUAAUCGAGAUCUCAAGGUUGAAGUCUAAUUAUUUUACAAACUAAAUUUAUUUUUAAAAAAAAA